Molecule: ribosomal RNA, 484 nt
Filed under: uncultured bacterium
Lineage: Bacteria
Description: partial 16S ribosomal RNA
Rfam family: Bacterial small subunit ribosomal RNA
Source: RNAcentral
AUUGAACGCUGGCGGCAGGCCUAACACAUGCAAGUCGAGCGGAUGAAGUGAGCUUGCUCCUGGAUUCAGCGGCGGACGGGUGAGUAAUGCCUAGGAAUCUGCCUGGUAGUGGGGGAUAACGUCCGGAAACGGGCGCUAAUACCGCAUACGUCCUGAGGGAGAAAGUGGGGGAUCUUCGGACCUCACGCUAUCAGAUGAGCCUAGGUCGGAUUAGCUAGUUGGUGGGGUAAAGGCCUACCAAGGCGACGAUCCGUAACUGGUCUGAGAGGAUGAUCAGUCACACUGGAACUGAGACACGGUCCAGACUCCUACGGGAGGCAGCAGUGGGGAAUAUUGGACAAUGGGCGAAAGCCUGAUCCAGCCAUGCCGCGUGUGUGAAGAAGGUCUUCGGAUUGUAAAGCACUUUAAGUUGGGAGGAAGGGCAGUAAGUUAAUACCUUGCUGUUUUGACGUUACCAACAGAAUAAGCACCGGCUAACUUCGUG